RNAcentral lists this ribosomal RNA (485 nucleotides) under marine gamma proteobacterium LHAT7. RNAcentral's name for it is "bacterial SSU rRNA". It matches the Rfam family "Bacterial small subunit ribosomal RNA", at positions 8 to 487 of the family's 1533-position model. The record is from RNAcentral. Lineage: Bacteria; Pseudomonadati; Pseudomonadota; Gammaproteobacteria.
AGAGUUUGAUCCUGGCUCAGAUUGAACGCUGGCGGUAGGCUUAACACAUGCAAGUCGAGCGGAAACGAUGUAGCUUGCUACAGGCGUCGAGCGGCGGACGGGUGAGUAACGCGUAGGAAUCUGCCUAGUAGUGGGGGACAACCUGUGGAAACGCAGGCUAAUACCGCAUAAGCCCUGAGGGGGAAAGGAGGGGAUCUUCGGACCUUUCGCUAUUAGAUGAGCCUGCGUGAGAUUACCUACUUGGUGAGGUAAAGGCUCACCAAGGCGACUAUCUCUAGCUGGUCUGAGAGGAUGAUCAGCCACACUGGGACUGAUACAGGUCCACACUCCUACGGGAGGCAGCAGUGGGGAAUAUUGGACAAUGGGCGCAAGCCUGAUCCAUCCAUACCGCGUGUGUCAAUAACGCCCUAAGGUUGUAAACCACUUUCAGAAGGGAGGAAAGGUUGAUGCUUAAUACGUAUUAGCUGUGACGUUACCUUCCGCAA